GAAUGCUGACAUAAGUAACGAUAAAGCGGGUGAAAAGCCCGCUCGCCGGAAGACCAAGGGUUCCUGUCCAACGUUAAUCGGGGCAGGGUGAGUCGACCCCUAAGGCGAGGCCGAAAGGCGUAGUCGAUGGGAAACAGGUUAAUAUUCCUGUACUUGGUGUUACUGCGAAGGGGGGACGGAGAAGGCUAUGUUGGCCGGGCGACGGUUGUCCCGGUUUAAGCGUGUAGGCUGGUUUUCCAGGCAAAUCCGGAAA
Molecule: ribosomal RNA, 253 nt
Filed under: Escherichia coli
Lineage: Bacteria; Pseudomonadati; Pseudomonadota; Gammaproteobacteria; Enterobacterales; Enterobacteriaceae
Description: partial 23S ribosomal RNA
Rfam family: Bacterial large subunit ribosomal RNA
Source: RNAcentral